RNAcentral lists this long non-coding RNA (610 nucleotides) under Coffea arabica (coffee). Its description in RNAcentral is "long non-coding RNA (CARA_LNC007120)". The record is from RNAcentral. Lineage: Eukaryota; Viridiplantae; Streptophyta; Magnoliopsida; Gentianales; Rubiaceae.
GAUUGGUUUUGAAUGUUUGUGUCUAAACAUACUUGAGCUGGAAUUGAAUCUUGCUAGCCAAAAGUUUCUUGGAGCUGCAAAAGUUGUCGAAUGAAAAGUGCAGCAGAAAACAAGAAAAUUCUGAAUUUUCUUUGUAUGUAGCAUUGCCGGAACUUGCAGGAUUGCAUUUUAGUUAUGGGCCUUGUUGCUUAGUUUCAUGACAUUAUUUUGAUCAAAAAUUGUGUUUUCAGAGCAAGCUGCGUUUGAAAUUUGUUUUGGCUGCUGAAAUCUUAAGGGCAAAGUGUCGAAAAAAUUUGUUUUUCUUUGUGGAUAGCAUGAAGUUGCAUUAGCUUUCAUGUCUUUGAUUCAUGUAACAGGCCACAAGAACCUGGGUUUUAUUCAUCCAAUUUGCUAGUUAAAUCUUGUGCAAAAUGAUUGACGAAGUUGCAUGUUUUGAUCCAAAGCAUCAAGGAAAGUGGCGGCAAAGCUGCAACUGGAAAAUUGCAGCACUUUACUCCUUUCUUUGGUUGAUAUUUCUUGUAUCUCUGGUAGCCACCGAUCCAGAUUUUCUGUUUUAGUCUUGUAAUGAAACUGUCACUCGAAUUGGUUGAUGAUUAGGAGUGAUGUUUUG